This is a long non-coding RNA of Neogale vison (American mink), 561 nucleotides long. RefSeq lists it as uncharacterized. The transcript is spliced from 3 exons. The record is from RefSeq and is a predicted model, not a curated record. NCBI's taxonomy places the organism in Eukaryota, Metazoa, Chordata, Mammalia, Carnivora, Mustelidae.
AUUGGUCAGAGCCGGGAUGUCUGGAUCCCAGUCUUGCUUCUGGUACCAGCCUGCUCCUGGCGAUGAACUCAGCGGCUCUGAGACAUGACUAUGAAUCACACCUCGUCCCCAAGGGCCACCUCAAAGGGAUACUACAUGAGACACAUCUGCAUCUCACACAAAUAUCUGUGCGUAGUGGACACAGGCCAGCAACAGAUACGUAUCACGUAGGAUUUGGGUGCCCCAGACUUCUAUCUCAGACGCGUGGACGGACACAGCGAGGCUCAAGCAGUUACAUUCACAUUUGGAUUUUUCUGACUUGAACGUUUUUCGGCAACAUCUGUGCCCCCAUGGUGGUGUCUGUCAAGUUCCAGUUCCCAAUCGUCGGAGCCCUCUAGAGUCUGCUCUUCCUCAUGAGGUCAGUCUCCUACUUUGCUCCUUCCCAAGACCUCCUGCUCCACGCAGACCUGACUUCUUCCUAACCCCAAAGUGAGCAAUUUUCAUUUCUGCCUUUGAAAUUCCCCAUAACAGUGUGCUCCCCUCUCCUUCUUGGUACGUCCGACCUUACCCUUUCGAAGGCUC